This 838-nucleotide ribosomal RNA is filed under the name Bacillus subtilis. RNAcentral describes it as "bacterial SSU rRNA". It matches the Rfam family "Bacterial small subunit ribosomal RNA", at positions 451 to 1286 of the family's 1533-position model. The record is from RNAcentral. Lineage: Bacteria; Bacillati; Bacillota; Bacilli; Caryophanales; Bacillaceae.
CCGUUCGAAUAGGGCGGUACCUUGACGGUACCUAACCAGAAAGCCACGGCUAACUACGUGCCAGCAGCCGCGGUAAUACGUAGGUGGCAAGCGUUGUCCGGAAUUAUUGGGCGUAAAGGGCUCGCAGGCGGUUUCUUAAGUCUGAUGUGAAAGCCCCCGGCUCAACCGGGGAGGGUCAUUGGAAACUGGGGAACUUGAGUGCAGAAGAGGAGAGUGGAAUUCCACGUGUAGCGGUGAAAUGCGUAGAGAUGUGGAGGAACACCAGUGGCGAAGGCGACUCUCUGGUCUGUAACUGACGCUGAGGAGCGAAAGCGUGGGGAGCGAACAGGAUUAGAUACCCUGGUAGUCCACGCCGUAAACGAUGAGUGCUAAGUGUUAGGGGGUUUCCGCCCCUUAGUGCUGCAGCUAACGCAUUAAGCACUCCGCCUGGGGAGUACGGUCGCAAGACUGAAACUCAAAGGAAUUGACGGGGGCCCGCACAAGCGGUGGAGCAUGUGGUUUAAUUCGAAGCAACGCGAAGAACCUUACCAGGUCUUGACAUCCUCUGACAAUCCUAGAGAUAGGACGUCCCCUUCGGGGGCAGAGUGACAGGUGGUGCAUGGUUGUCGUCAGCUCGUGUCGUGAGAUGUUGGGUUAAGUCCCGCAACGAGCGCAACCCUUGAUCUUAGUUGCCAGCAUUCAGUUGGGCACUCUAAGGUGACUGCCGGUGACAAACCGGAGGAAGGUGGGGAUGACGUCAAAUCAUCAUGCCCCUUAUGACCUGGGCUACACACGUGCUACAAUGGACAGAACAAAGGGCAGCGAAACCGCGAGGUUAAGCCAAUCCCACAAAUCUGUU